RNAcentral lists this ribosomal RNA (540 nucleotides) under uncultured bacterium. RNAcentral describes it as "partial 16S ribosomal RNA". The record is from RNAcentral.
GGAGUUAGCCGGUGCUUCUUCUGUGAGUGAUGUCCUUCCUGCCGGCUAUUAACCCGCAGGCCUUCUUCCUCACUGAAAGUGCUUUACAACCCGAAGGCCUUCUUCACACACGCGGCAUGGCUGGAUCAGGGUUGCCCCCAUUGUCCAAUAUUCCCCACUGCUGCCUCCCGUAGGAGUCUGGGCCGUGUCUCAGUCCCAGUGUGGCUGAUCAUCCUCUCAGACCAGCUACGGAUCGUCGCCUUGGUGAGCCGUUACCUCACCAACCAGCUAAUCCGACAUAGGCUCAUCCGAUAGCGCGAGGCCCGAAGGUCCCCCGCUUUCCCCCGUAGGGCGUAUGCGGUAUUAGCCUGGGUUUCCCCAGGUUAUCCCCCACUACCGGGCAGAUUCCUAUGCAUUACUCACCCGUCCGCCGCUCGCCACCAGGGAGCAAGCUCCCCGUGCUGCCGCUCGACUUGCAUCGUGUUAGGCCUGCCGCCAGCGUUCAAUCUGAGCCAGAAUCGAAACCUCGACACGUAGACGGCGGUCGCGACGACGGCGCAG